This 78-nucleotide microRNA precursor is filed under the name Xyrichtys novacula (pearly razorfish). Lineage: Eukaryota; Metazoa; Chordata; Actinopteri; Labriformes; Labridae. The record is from RNAcentral.
UCAGGGAAAGCUAGGAGGUUGUACAGUUAUCUCCCGGUGGUGUAAUUACCAACUAUACAACCUACUACCUCAACCUGG